CAUCUUGGGCGGCCGAGGCGCGGGGUGCGUGUCCCGGCGUGCUGCGCGCGCUUCCCGGCGUGCACUGCGCGGCCGCCAGCCUGAGGGGCGGCCCGGGGACACCGGGAGAAGCGGAGUACCGGCCGCUUACCGGGCACACACCGCGGGUACGGGCACACACCGCUGAGGGCGAGCACAGCAGCAGUGGCACCGGAAAGACCACACUGCGGAUACACCACAUCGCCCCCGGCCUCCCGCAGGCACUGGGCGCUGUCGUGCAUUCCGAGUGUCCCUGCCCAGGAAUCCCUUCCCAGGACAGCUCUGUUUUAGGGAGUGACCGUGUCCCGCACAUCUGGAGACACUAGAGUUGAGAGAAACGUUCCCACCUUUUGUGUCCGUCACCUCCGUGUCACGGGAGCUCUGGGGUCUCCGCUGUGCAUAUCCCACAGGGUGCGGCGGGCGGAGCCCCCCCGGCCCGGGGAGCUGCUGGGAUGGACUUUGCUGCUGAAGUUAUGCAGAUGCUGCCCGGAGAUUUGCAGCUACAGGCUGAGGAAUCCUGCCCUGGAAUGAUUGUGAAUUUACCAGGCAGAAAUCUUUGAUGGCUCACCAAUUAACUCCCUUCCUUUCAACAUGUAAAGCACUGUACAAGGACUCUGGUAACUUCAGUAUAGAGAGAAACAUGUAAAUUCAGCAUACUGGGAAGUUGGUUACCUGCUACAGAAAAUUUCUUCUGUGGUUCUCUUAGACUGUUCCUUUCAAUGUAGGCACAAAUCCAGUGUGUGAAUACUGGUACCUUCUACAUCUGCUCUUACAAAAACAAAUCUUCUAGUCAAACAUAAAACUUUGAACUUAAUAGUUAUUUCAGUGAGAAGUAUAACAUUGUAGUAAGCAGAGAGAUUGAGAUGGAGAAAGGAUGCUCACUUCUUACCUUAAACUUCUUCACUCUUGAGCCAUAGUGGGAAGCAGUGAAAUAAUCACUGAGCUUCGGGAGCAGGCACAGCCCUGGCUGCAGCACUGCCCUGCCCUGGGGUCACAGUCCCGGCUGUGCUCAGCUCCCAGGGAUCACCUUCAUCCUGCCUUUUGGAUCUGCUAAGAGGAGGGUUUGCUUUCCUUCUCAAUGAAGGAUUUCUCAGUUGUAAUUCUGCAUGAUUUACAUAUUCUAAAGACUUUUUUACACUUUCCAAAGGGCAGACUCUGUCUCUCAGGCUGAGUGUCAGCAUGGCUUCAGCCACACAAGGGAUGAAGGCAGCUGUGAGCUCCCCUUGAUGUGAGCGGGGCAGAGCUCCCCAAGUGAUCCUGUUUGCAGGGUCAGGGUUGGUGUUUGCAGAUUUUUGACCUUCUAGAAAUUUUUGUUGACUUUUAGCACAGUCUCAAGUUCUCAUUUUCUAGUAAGCUUAGGACUUAUAUUUUUUUAACUCUACGCUAUCUCACUCAUUCCUUCCCAGCGGGAAGUGCCCCACAUACUGAAUCCAGCUGUGGCAGCCACAGAAUUAAACCCUCACAUCCCCCGUGAAAACAUUGCAAAGUUUCUCUUGAAUUUUGUUCUACUUUUGUUAAACCCAUGCAGUGAUUUUUAGCUGUAAAAGAAGUUUCACUGACUCUUGCUCUCCCAAAGCAGGUAUCUAAAAUAAACACCGUGAUUAUUAGCUAUGUAUGUUGCAGUAACUAUUAAAAAAUGGGGGGCACAUUAGUGUCACCACUGAAACAGGCAGAUCUUGUCAUGGAAAACAGGCUUCCAAGGCAGAAAAAACCAAACAGCCUCAAACAAGUGGUGUCAGGGUAAACAGAGAAGGGUGUGGAGUGCCUUUCCCCAGGCACAGCAGAUCCAGGAAUAAAGCUGGGGGUCAUUCUGGAAGCAGUUCCUCAUGCCCUCUGGAGCUCUGCAGAAGCCCUGGCAGCUCUGAGGGGCUGCCUGGGCAUGGGGGGUUGCUGAAGUCCAGCAGCCAGGGAGAAGUAUGGCUGGGCCACCCUCUUUUGCCAUUUUUUAAAGAGUAAAACAGUUCUUUAUUUUUCUUUCACUCAGUAUUUUAUGGUGAAAAAAACCCUUUUCCUGUUAAGAUGUCUUAAAAUAAAUGUAUUGUAGGAGUUU
Oenanthe melanoleuca is the source of this 2068-nucleotide long non-coding RNA. RefSeq lists it as uncharacterized. The record is from RefSeq and is a predicted model, not a curated record. The transcript is spliced from 3 exons. Lineage: Eukaryota; Metazoa; Chordata; Aves; Passeriformes; Muscicapidae.